AUAAUUCCUACAAUUGUUUCUUGAGUUCCUCUAAUUCGGCUUUUACCAUUUGAUACGGAGUCUUAGAGAUAGAGCUCGUAUCAGGAAUUAAGUCAAUGAAUAACUCGAUCUCUUGGUCUGCAGGUAGACCUAGAAGAUCUUUUGAGAAAACAUCAAAAAAUUCCUUCACCACUAGUGUCUGUUGUAGAUUAACUUCUCUACUUUUAUUCUCCACUACGUAAGUUAAAUACCCUG
Molecule: long non-coding RNA, 234 nt
Filed under: Carica papaya (papaya)
Lineage: Eukaryota; Viridiplantae; Streptophyta; Magnoliopsida; Brassicales; Caricaceae
Description: long non-coding RNA (CPAP_LNC010582)
Source: RNAcentral